This 1341-nucleotide ribosomal RNA is filed under the name uncultured bacterium. RNAcentral describes it as "partial 16S ribosomal RNA". It matches the Rfam family "Bacterial small subunit ribosomal RNA", at positions 28 to 1381 of the family's 1533-position model. The record is from RNAcentral.
GACGAACUUUGGCGGCGUGCUUAACACAUGCAAGUCGAACGGUAAGGCUCCAGCUUGCUGGGGUACACGAGUGGCGAACGGGUGAGUAACACGUGGGUGACCUGCCCUGCACUUCGGGAUAAGCCUGGGAAACUGGGUCUAAUACCGGAUAGGACCGCACCGUGAGGGUGUGGUGGAAAGUUUUUUCGGUGUGGGAUGGGCCCGCGGCCUAUCAGCUUGUUGGUGGGGUAAUGGCCUACCAAGGCGGCGACGGGUAGCCGGCCUGAGAGGGUGGACGGCCACAUUGGGACUGAGACACGGCCCAGACUCCUACGGGAGGCAGCAGUGGGGAAUAUUGCACAAUGGGCGGAAGCCUGAUGCAGCGACGCCGCGUGGGGGAUGACGGCCUUCGGGUUGUAAACUCCUUUCACCAUCGACGAAGGGUUUCUGACGGUAGAUGGAGAAGAAGCACCGGCUAACUACGUGCCAGCAGCCGCGGUAAUACGUAGGGUGCGAGCGUUGUCCGGAAUUACUGGGCGUAAGGAGCUCGUAGGUGGUUUGUCGCGUCGUCUGUGAAAUUCCGGGGCUUAACUCCGGGCGUGCAGGCGAUACGGGCAUAACUUGAGUACUGUAGGGGAGACUGGAAUUCCUGGUGUAGCGGUGAAAUGCGCAGAUAUCAGGAGGAACACCGGUGGCGAAGGCGGGUCUCUGGGCAGUAACUGACGCUGAGGAGCGAAAGCAUGGGGAGCGAACAGGAUUAGAUACCCUGGUAGUCCAUGCCGUAAACGGUGGGCGCUAGGUGUGGGUUUCCUUCCACGGGAUCCGUGCCGUAGCUAACGCAUUAAGCGCCCCGCCUGGGGAGUACGGCCGCAAGGCUAAAACUCAAGGGAAUUGACGGGGGCCCGCACAAGCGGCGGAGCAUGUGGAUUAAUUCGAUGCAACGCGAAGAACCUUACCUGGACUUGACAUAUACAGGAUCGCGCCAGAGAUGGUGUUUCCCUUGUGGCUUGUAUACAGGUGGUGCAUGGUUGUCGUCAGCUCGUAUCGUGAGAUGUUGGGUUAAGUCCCGCAACGAGCGCAACCCUUGUCUUAUGUUGCCAGCACGUUGUGGUGGGGACUCGUAAGAAACUGCCGGGGUUAACUCGGAGGAAGGUGGGGAUGACGUCAAAUCAUCAUGCCCCUUAUGUCCAGGGCUUCACACAUGCUACAAUGGUCGGUACAGUGGGUUGCCAGUCCGUGAGGGCGAGCUAAUCCCGCAAAGCCGGUCUCAGUUCGGAUCGGGGUCUGCAACUCGACCCCGUGAAGUCGGAGUCGCUAGUAAUCGCAGAUCAGCAACGCUGCGGUGAAUACGUUCCCGGGCCU